Molecule: non-coding RNA, 96 nt
Organism: Clostridium sp. M62/1
Lineage: Bacteria; Bacillati; Bacillota; Clostridia; Eubacteriales; Clostridiaceae
Source: Rfam
AUCAUGAUACUUCCGUCCAGUCACAGCCCCGCAAGAAGCGGGAUCACGCAAUGAGGACGGCUCGGAGAGAUCCUCGGAGGGGUGAAAUGCCCAUGA